GCGAGCACGCGCGUGUGGCAUAUCAAUAAGCGGAGGAAAAGAAACUAACAAGGAUUCCCUUAGUAACGGCGAGUGAAGCGGGAAGAGCUCAAAUUUGAAAUCUUCAAGGUUCUACCUUGACGAAUUGUAGUUUAUAGAAGUGUUUUCUGUUAGUGGAGUGGCAAAAGUUCUUUGGAAUAGGACAUCAUAGAGGGUGAGAAUCCCGUAUUUGGUCAUUCCUCCUAGCGUUGUGAUACACUUUCAACGAGUCGGAUUGUUUGGGAAUGCAGUCCAAAAUGGGUGGUAAAUUUCAUCUAAAGCUAAAUAUUGGCGAGAGACCGAUAGCGAACAAGUACCGUGAGGGAAAGAUGAAAAGAACUUUGAAAAGAGAGUUAAACAGUACGUGAAAUUGUCAAAAGGGAAGCGUUUGACACCAGUGUUGUUUUUCCGAAAAUCAAUUACGAAUGUUUUGUUUUUAAGGAGUUAUGACUUCAUCGGCUUGCUCCUUUCUUUAUGAAACUUUCUUAAUGCACUUUUCGGUUAACAAGUCAACAUCAAUUUCUUUUGUUGUAAAAGGGUAUGAGGAAGGUGGCUUUCUUUUCGGAGAAAGUGUUUAUAGCCUUGUGCCUCUGACAAUCGGAGAGAUUGAGGUCUGCAGCGUAGAUCCUUCGGGGUUAGAUACGUUUGUGCUAAGUUAUAGCUUUUCAUAGACAACUUGUUGACUAUGUUUAGUCUUGUAGCUUACUCGCUGACGCUAUUUUACCUACGCUUAGGAUGUUGAUGUGAUACUGCGAGCA
This 776-nucleotide ribosomal RNA is filed under the name uncultured Neocallimastigales. Its description in RNAcentral is "partial large subunit ribosomal RNA". It matches the Rfam family "Eukaryotic large subunit ribosomal RNA", at positions 17 to 646 of the family's 3401-position model. The record is from RNAcentral. Lineage: Eukaryota; Fungi; Neocallimastigomycota; Neocallimastigomycetes; Neocallimastigales.